This 381-nucleotide ribosomal RNA is filed under the name uncultured bacterium. RNAcentral describes it as "bacterial SSU rRNA". It matches the Rfam family "Bacterial small subunit ribosomal RNA", at positions 28 to 411 of the family's 1533-position model. The record is from RNAcentral.
GAUGAACGCUGGCGGCGUGCUUAACACAUGCAAGUCGAACGUGAGAGGUAGCAAUAUCUUGAAAGUGGCGAACGGGUGAGUAACACGUAGGUGACCUGCCUCGGAGCGGGGGAUAACAGUUAGAAAUGACUGCUAAAUACCGCAUGAAUCCACUGGGAUGGGAAGAAUGGAGGAGAAAACUCUGGUGCUUCGAGAGGGGCCUGCGGUCGAUUAGCUAGUUGGUGGGGUAAAGGCCUACCAAGGCGACGAUCGAUAGCUGGUCUGAGAGGACGAUCAGCCACACGGGAACUGAGACACGGUCCCGACUCCUACGGGGGGCAGCAGUGAGGAAUAUUGGGCAAUGGGCGGAAGCCUGACCCAGCAACGCCGCGUGGAGGAAUG